RNAcentral lists this ribosomal RNA (393 nucleotides) under uncultured bacterium. RNAcentral's name for it is "partial 16S ribosomal RNA". It matches the Rfam family "Bacterial small subunit ribosomal RNA", at positions 523 to 918 of the family's 1533-position model. The record is from RNAcentral.
AUACGGAGGAUCCGAGCGUUAUCCGGAUUUAUUGGGUUUAAAGGGUGCGCAGGCGGGAGAUUAAGUCGGCGGUGAAAUUUUGCAGCUCAACUGUAAAAGUGCCUUCGAAACUGGUUUCCUUGAGUGUAGAUGAAGUAGGCGGAAUUUGUGGUGUAGCGGUGAAAUGCAUAGAUAUCACGAGGAACUCCGAUUGCGCAGGCAGCUUACUAAACUACUAUUGACGCUCAGGCACGAAGGCGUGGGGAUCAAACAGGAUUAGAUACCCUGGUAGUCCACGCAGUAAACGAUGAUUACUAGCUGUUUGCGAUACAAUGUAAGCGGCUGAGCGAAAGCGUUAAGUAAUCCACCUGGGGAGUACGUUCGCAAGAAUGAAACUCAAAGGAAUUGACGGGG